UACGUACAUAUGUACAUACGUUGCUGAUGGCACCGAGCGACGUCGCAGUGUGCGAAUAACGGUCCGAAAAUACUACGUUGAGCAAUUUUUUAGUAUUAUUUUUGUCGCGUGUAAAGUCGGUUGUUUUGUGAUUGGUAAAAUCGAAAUACUGAGUGAUGUUGAAACAGAGGACAAAACGCAAGACGACGGCCUGUUAAGAUUAUUAACAGAUUUUAAUUUGCCUGAUGUGCUUCCUUAUUUAAACGCUGCGCAUGGGACUUUGGAAAGUUUACAGUACAUGAGGAAGGAAGACUUGAAAGAAGCCAUACCACCUCUUGGCCUUCGGAUGGAAUCCCGGAGAAGCUCUUUAUGUGGAAAAAACGAGAGUUUGGAAUAGACGAUGAUAUAAUUUCCGUGCCAUCUAAUGUGGGUGCUUGGCUAGAAACGGCAACAGAAAAUACAAAGCAAAUCCUAAAAAAGGAUUUGACAACUUAGCUUAAGGAUUCUGGGCGAGGCCGAGCUCUUCUUAUGUCUGAUACAAAAAUAAAACACUUACAAAUGCAUAAAGGGAGGAUAUCAUUAAUAUUGUAGUGGAAGAGGUUAUUUCAAAGAAUAUUAAUCUAAAAGUGCAGGACUUUCCUUGCAUAGUGGACGAAGUAUGCUCCAUACUCCCCAGUGAAGUUAAUAUGCAGAACUAUUACUUCAUUUCGAGGCAAGGAAAAAACAAUCCGUCUGGAAAGUUGUAUUCAAAGUAUGAAAACCAAAAAUCGAAGCACCGAAAGGUUGAAGGAUUGUCUGAGCCGUCUGAGAGCAAAGAUAAAAACUAUGCUAACAGAUCGAUUGUCCAAACUCCAGAAGUUGAUGAGUCGGUUUCCGAAGCAUAUAAAACAUCCUUAAACAGAGACUGUGCGGAUUGGGCCGAAGUUUUCGACAAAUGGAAGAAAACUUUUCAUUUAAAUUUGAUUGUAAUUUGAGUCCUUUGGAUUUUUUUCAAGCUUGGUCAAAAUUGUCACAUGCACAGGCUUCUGAUUUGAUUGAAAUUGAUUUUCAGUUCAUGUAUCCUGAGAAAACACAUUUAUUCCUUGCUAAGUGGGAAACUUUUAAAGCAAAAAUUAUUAAUUACUAUGAGAAAAACAUAAGCAACGAAUAUUAUGUCCAGGACUAUUUAAUUACAAUUCUUCUAAAUGCUGUAUUACCUUCCGGCGCCAGAUUCAAAAGCGAAAGCGGUAAAAAACUAAGAAAGUAACUAUAGUUGAUUCUCAGGAAAGUUUGGUUUUGCGGUUCCCAACUUUGAAUGAUUACCAACGGCAGGUCUAUGCCAUAAUUAACCAAUACUACUCUGCAGGGUUAACCGUACAACCUUUUUCGAUUGUCGAAGGGCUGUCAGAUACAAAUAUAAGCGGUUUCUUUGUGUACUUUGAUAAUAAUUUGCUUAAGUUUAAUUCGUUCAUUCAAAGCAUAGAUAUUUGUUUUAAACUAUUUCAAAUAAUGAAUCUUAAAUAUCCAGAAGCUUGUCAGGACUCCUGGCUUUUUAUUCAAAUAUUUUUUUUUCAAAUUGAAACUUCAAGUCGUCAAAUAUUACAUCACUUGUAAGCUUUUUGAACACUGAUUAGAAAAUAACGGAAAGAUGUAUACUUGUUUUCGUUGUUUAAAAAUCUUUGCAGCACCUGCAAUUUUGAUAGUUCAUUUUAAAAAAGAUCAUUUAUUAACACGAAAACUGUUAAAAAUAUAAUGCAUUCAAAACAACUGUAAUCAAACUUUUACUAAUUUUUCUUGUUUUCGCAUACAUUUGGAAAAUAAAUAAAACGGAUAACGAUGAUGGUUUUGGCGACCACUUUAUUUCUUAAUUGUUAAUUCUGCCGGCUCGAGGUCAAAUGGUUUUAGAAAAUUUUUUUGAAUUAAAACACAGGAUUUUAGUUUUUUUUCGAUAUAUUUCGGUUACGCUUCAGUAACCGUCCUCAGGGCAACUAUUGACAAUCAUGUAAAACAUAAACAUAUACAUACAUAAAUACAAAUUUCAAAACAAUAAUUAAACACAAAAUGCAUACAUACAUUAAUUUACACGUCUGCACUGUUUGACGUGGAGUUUGGUUUGGAGUACAGUACCGUAAUGAAAAUGCUUUUGUACUUUGUCAACAAGUAGAGGUAAAAACAUUUGAGUCAUUUAAGAUCAUAUGAGAUAGGUUGUUUAGUUGAUAAAAUGUAUUUAAGACCUAUUGAAGAAUUUACAAGUCCACCUUUACAUAUAUAUCCUACAAAUAAUGGAAAAUCAUAUUUAAGAAUGAAAUAUCUGUAAGGUUAUAAUAAUAAAAAGUCCUAGAAAUUUUUCGAGAACGUGAUUUCGUAGGCCAUCGAAUGUCUGAAUAACAAUAUUAAUUUAUGUACACUGGCAAUCAAAAGUGAGUGCAUGGUGUUUUUAGUUUAAUAUU
This 2408-nucleotide long non-coding RNA is filed under the name Rhagoletis pomonella (apple maggot). Its description in RNAcentral is "uncharacterized LOC118752455, transcript variant X1". Lineage: Eukaryota; Metazoa; Arthropoda; Insecta; Diptera; Tephritidae. The record is from RNAcentral.